GCUCCACCAACCUGCAGCGGGUGUGUAACACAGCACACCGGCUAAGCCCUGGUAGCCCGGAACUCUUCUCUUGGAAAAAGUGCACUCGGCCAAAGUGGUCUCAAACCCCUGACAGCGCACUUGCAAGCAUUCUGUGGAGUUUAUCUGGAGAUCUUCAGAAUAAUGAAACCUUCCCCGAGUAUCAAGAGCACCUCUGGAAGCAGCAAAACGAAACGUGAUGGUAAAAAAUUACUACUUGCAUUUUACUGUCAUACUGUAGGAGGUAAGCGCCUAGAGUAAUUUCCUCUCAUCUUCUAUAAAUCUAUACGUGUUCUACAAAUCAGGUUACAGUCUCUUUGCCUUGGUAUUUUCAACUGCAAAAGGGAAUAUAUCUACUUCACUAGGUUUUAUAAGAUUAACUAAAAUAAUCACUUUAGACUGACUAGCCUGGAGGAGGACAAGGGGGACGAUCUUUUAAAAAUUGAUUACUCUAACAGAAAUUAGAGAAGGGACAAGAGCACAGAAUAAGUAGGGUUAUAAUAAGCCCAAAAUAAGAUAAGGAAAAGAAAGUCAACAAUGUAAAGUAAUCACAAUAAGGUAAAGUGGGCUAAACUUUUCAGUUAAUGAUUGACAUAUUGGAUUUUUUUUUUAAAAUGCUCUCUGUAUAAAGAACACACUUAACAGGAAGAUACAAAACGAUGAAAGUAAAGAAAUGGGAAAAGAUUGUGAACAAAAGAGUUAACAACAUCGCUGAUUCUAAUAGUUAAUGUUCUAGAACUAUGUACAUGAAGUACUUAAAAAGCACUCAGCGCAAAGCAAAUACCCACAUAAUUUAAAAACUUGUCAUCGUACAGGGACAUUCUCUGACAUCAAUGCAGUGAGAGAGGAAAUCGAUAAUUAAAAAGUUAACUAUCAGCAAGCUAAUGUGUUCAUUUGGAAAGUACAAAACACCUUCUAAAUUGCAAAUGGAUCAAAAAAGUUUGCAUUGACAAUCAGAAGAUAUUUUGAACCGAAUAAUAAAUAAAAUAUCACUUAGGGAGUUUAUGGCAUGCAGAUAAAGCAUUACUUACAGAGAAAUAGGUACCUUAAAUGUUUAUGUUAGGGAAGUAAGAAAAAUUGAAAAGGAUUGAGUUAAGCAUUUGAUUCCAGGAAUUAGAAAAAAAUAAAACAGGGAAGAAAGUGGGAGGGUUGAAGAUAACAGCAAUGAUUAAGGAAGUAGAAAAUAAAGAAAUAAGGGACCUCUGCCAAACACAAAAUACAAAAGACUAAUCAGAUAGACUCGCAGUAAAGGCCAAACGAGGAAAGGUGUAAGUAAUAUUAGCUGUGGAAAAGUGGAUGUAAUUAUAGCUGGGUAGAGAGAGACAGGAACAAAUGUACUCAAAGUCACCCAAGGAUUCAGCCCAAAUACUUGAGCCAACUCUCAGGGGAACGCAGUUAAUCCUCAUAACAAUGCUAAGAGGCUGGGAGUGGAUAUUCUCAGGUUACACCACAGGAAACUGCAGGACAGAAAGCCCAGGUAACCAGAAAGCCAGCAGCUGGAACAAUGAAAUCCAGCCUGAGAAAAUCCCCCUGUCCUUCCUAGCACUCACUGUUGAAAUCCGAGGUCAAAGCAGGCCACGUUGGCUUCCGCCAUGCCCCAGUUGCUUUUACAGAUGAACAUUUUCUUAUCUUGGUCCACAAGUUUUACUGUGACAAUUCCCUUUGAAUCUGUACUUUCAUCACUUAAGGAAACACUAAAUUCUCCUAAAGUAGAAAGGAAUGAACAAUAUUUAGGCAUUCAUUGUUUUAUCUGCUGAAUUUAAGAGCCUUUAAAACAGUAAAAUAUCUCAUUUCAAAAUGACUUUGACGGCCAUGAAGAUUUUAACAAACCAUAACAGGCAUUUCUUUCAACAGUGCUUAUGUGGCAACGGCCAUGCUACCCGUCAUGUGGAAGGCCACUCAAUCCUCACACCCACCUUGUAAAGAUGAAGCCCGCCUUGUCUCCAUUUUUUCACAGGAGGAACCUAAAUCUAGGAGACGUUAAAUUCCCGGCCCAAGUGGUGAAGCCAGGAAUUGGAAGCUGCUCUGUUAUCUCACUGCAGAGUCUUAGAAGUAAGUCACUUCCGGAAAGGCCCGAAGGGUUUGUGUGUUCUCCCACAUUCAGUGCCUGAGGAGAGGGCUGGCACUGACAGACACAGGGCCUAACUCUUGCUCUUCCCCUGUCAUAGCCAGCCGAGGUGGGCUAAGUGGAAAGCUUUAGUUCUCUUUUUACCUCUCCAUCCUAACUCAGCAUCAGAAAACUACACAGGCUACGACUGUGAGCUGGUGGCUCGCAGCACCUUUAAAAAGAGCACGUUAAGCAUUUGCUUCUCUGACAACUUGAUAGCGGAAGGCAGUGGUGAGCCUGAGUUUUGCUCUUAUGGCUAAAAUUUAAUAAACAUUUUCUUUGUGUCAAGGACUAGGCAAAGAACUUUAUCUGCAUCAUUUUAUUAACUUCCACAAGAAUUUUAUGACUUGGGAACUUUGAGCAUUCACAUUUGACAGAUGGAAGAACUGGGGCCCAGCGAUUCCCACAGCUGGUCAGUAACAGAGGUGGGCAUGGAGGAGAUGGAAACUGAGAACCUAAUCCUGUGCCUCGAGUCGUAGCCCCUCGUUCCAUAGGCACCUAUAGGGUACAGGCAAAUUUGCCUGAUGUGCCAAGCUGGCUAGGGGAGCAUGCCUAGCUCCGGCGUCUCUCAGCCCCUCAGAUACCCAGGGGCAGCCGGUGCAGGGAUGGGGCCGAGGGAAGAUGCUGGAAGAAACACUGGGGGCUGGGACCCAAAGGCUGAGCGGACCCAGCCCUCCUGUGUGACUAGCCUGCCAAGGCCUUCUCACUGACUCUGAACCAGCUGGGCGGUCCCGGGGAGGGGCCCUUUGACAACGCCAAAGGGCAGCAGUGAGACCUCAGAGCCAGGUGCUCUGGGCUCAUGGCUGGAUUCAGGUGACUCCCGAUUUCUUUAGUUACCACUUCAGUUACUGUUGAGGUGUCAAGCAUUUUGAGUCAUCAUCCGAACAUUCCACAGCCAAGGUCUUUCCUAAGAGAAAGGCUGGUAUACAGUGGCCCUCUUAGGUCACAACAUAACAUGAUAAAUAGGCUGUUCUACCUUCAGCUGUGCACGUUCCUGUUAUUUAAAAACUUGGCCUCUGGACGAAGGCAUUCAAAGCUCUUCAGAUGGCAGUACGUUGGAAAGCUUCUCCCGUUGGUUGAACACACGGAGGUGCCGUUCUUGGGGCACUGAUAGGGGAGUUUGCAAAUACAGGUCCCGUCCCACGCACUUCUCCCACGGCUGGCAGAAGACUUUGCUGCAGGAGCGAUGUGUGUAUUUGUUCAAUAAGCACUUGGCAUCCACCAGGUCCUCCUGAGGGGCGGCUGGCGCUGAAGGGAGCUAUAAAACACAAAAGAGCCAUCGGCUUAGCAGCAAACCCAAAGCUGCUUUUUCAAACACAGAUGAGGAUGAUGGGGUCCGGUGGUUUUAGGAACCAGACAAACCUGGCUUCUUGCCCCAGUUUGGGUCAUAUAACUUUGGGAAAGUUACCUCAUGAACAUGGUUUCCUCAUCUGCAAUUCUGCGAGGUAAUUAUAAAGAUUAGAAAUCAUAUGCGUCAUGCGAUGGUUGGCAGGUGCUACGUAGGCAAUUAAUGGAAGCUGUUAUUACCCUAAGGCCAACAUAAAAUUAUGCCUCCAAAGAAGUCAGUGAAUCUCAGCAGUCAUGUUAAGGAGCAACACAUUUGGUGCUGAACAUGUCUUAUGGAAUGCAUUUGUUUUUCUGUUAUUAAACACAAAGCCAUUUUUUGAGCUCCUACUAUACGUAAAGUCUUUCUAGGAUGGACAUGAACUGGUCUCCACCUCCAAGGACUUUCUUUCUAGGCAGUAAGGCAGGACCCACAUACUAGUAGGACACUGGCAGAUGGUGGUGAGUGAUGUAACUGGGGUACAAAAGCAGCACAGUAGACUUAGGGAAACAGGGUAGGAGAGUGCGUGUGCUAGUCCCGCGGAACGAGGCCAGGAAGGACAGGUCUGGCUGUCAGGAUCCCGUGUUUGCCACAGACAGGGGAGGGCUGAUGCGGAACAUUUCGGGAGUGGGUACAGUGAUGGGACUCAGCAGUCUAAUCCAUGUGUGGGCUGAAGGGGACCCUAGGUUUUUCACGCUGAGUGAACGAGUGAUGUUUCUUUCACCGACCACAAGUAUUAAAGGACUGCUUGAUCUACUGCAUAUAAAGCCUUAUCCUCAAAGCAUUAACAAUGAGUAAAAUAACUCGAUUGCAUUUGAAGAGAGCUGACCAUUUGAGACCAUUUGCACUUAAUGCUUGUCAGGGUCCCAGACACUCACUAGAUAUAGAACACGAUGUUUAUAGUGUCAGCCUGCAACUUCAUUUAUAAAAAGGCUGAAGUCAUUUACAUGGAAUCUUGUUCUAUAUACUACAUGCCAAUCUGUAUGUAAGUUGUAUAGUUAGGCACUUUAUAAGUUUUUCAUGAAAUAUAUUCCACAUAAUACAGAAAUAUUGUUCAUACUGAUGAGAAUGAAAUUUGCAUUGAGCAGAGCUUUAGGUUUGCAAUUUAAAAAUUUUUUUUUGAGCAGAGCUUUAAAAUGAGUGUAAGUAGCAGUAAACAUUUUCUUUCUGCAACCUGUACUUAUACGUUCUUCCUGUAAACUACAUAAAAAUAUUGUAGUGAAUUUUGGUGGUGAUUUUAAAGGUUUUGAUUAGGUCAAUAAUUGCUUAAGCACUGUUUAAUUCAUGUUGAAAUAUCUUUACUUUUAGUUCUGAAUAUCUAAAAACUCAUUUAAUUAAUAUGCUAUUCUUGAUUUAGUGGUAUUCUCUAUUCAUAUUUUUGGUAUUUAACCUAGUUAGUUUAGGCUCAGUCAUAAUAGUGGAUAGAGUCUCUGUUAUUUCAAGAGAUGUUAAAUAUUUAUACGCUGUGUUGACUAGCUCAAAUGUGAAUUCUGUUAGUGUUGCUAAAGAAGAAUCUGGUAGUUUUUUUUUAAAGAAUGUCUGAAAUAUAGUCUUACAACUAAUAUCAUAGUGGUGAGCCUUUCCCUAUGUGUUUAUUGUCCUUGUUCUUUACUAGGUAUCUUUUUUCAGCUAAUAUGUCCUUAUAAUUAAAUAAAAAAUUUUGAAAAGUAAUGAAGUAUGGUUAAUGACAUUAUCCAACGAAAAACUCAGUGGUCCAAUUAUUAAAACAUUUGUGUUAAAAUUUUGGCUUAAAAAUGCAAAUUUAAGUGUGUUUACUUAUAUAGCAGCCCAUUUAUUUACAUAUGAAUAUAUUCAAGGAUACUGGGAGCAUUGCUCAAAAUGUUUUGGCAAUUAGUACUGUAGCCAAUUUGUCUACUAAGCACGACCCCACUCCUUUAGGUGCUGCUGCUGUGUUGUGCAUGAGGACUUAAGAAAAAAAACCUUUCCUUGAUAGCUGUAAUGAUGUAGCAAUUACACUUCUGUGUGUUUCUCUAGGCAGGAGUACAAGGAAAGCAGUUUAGACAGUUCCUAGAAAACGAAGAAGAAAUCAAACAAUCUCCUAUUCUAUGCCGUAUCAACCCUCACGUACAGAUAAAUAGCUUUACCUCAUGCUUCUUUGUCACCUGGUUUUUCCAAUGUUUUCCAUAUUUGCCCUAUAAACGAGAGGGGAGAAAAGAUGAUCAAGUAUGACCAAAACAAGAAAAGCUCCCCCACUUUCCCCUCUCUAUGGACAUUGUUGGGGAGCCCCACUCUGCUGCGAGCUCUGUGUAAUCUUGGUAAGGGGCUGUCUUCCUCCCUCCCCCCUCCCUCCCUUCCUUUGUUUCUUCCUUUCUGUUUUCUCAUCUUGUUUUUAAAAUUUACUUUAUGAGUCCACGUUUGCAGUACAUACUGACCACAUUCAUAGAGAGGUGUUGGUACUUGUACAUAAUACUUAAUUCUGACCCAUCCUGCUUUUGUAAAACGUGGAAAAUAAAAAUAAUGUUCUCACAUAGUUACUUUGAGGAUCAAGUGAAACAUGCAGGAGAAAGCAAAGAGACAUUUAAGAACUUAUAUUGGCUGAGGAUGUAGCUCAGGGCUAGAGUGCUUGUAAUAGCAUUCAAAAGGCCUUUGGUUGAAUUGCUGGCACUACCAAAAGAAAUUCCAUCUAGAUCCUGUAUAUAUAUAGAUGCUGCACGAACGCUAAUAUGGUGAUGAUUCUGGCAGGCAGCACAAAGCCCCACGUCUUCUACCCUCCCCUCAGUCCAGCCGCUCUCUGUGCCUCUCCCUGGGGACCAGGCUAUGUCCUUAUCCUUUGCCUCUGGACGGAAGGGAUCAGAUGUGACACAGAGAUGCUUGGACGCUGCUCCUUCGACCAGGACUGUCUCCGGUAUCUGUGCACAGCUGUGAGAACGUGGUUGGGUCAGCAAAAAGCAGAAGGGAAGAACCACCCUUCCCAGCUGGGCCUCCUCCGUCAGCUGGUCCUGGCCGACCUGCAGGCUGCAGUCUUGCCCUCCGAGAGCUGGUGGUGGUUCUGUGAUGGCAUUAACCAGCUGGGGCAACGUGGCUUCCCAGAAGAAAAAGUGGAAAACUCAGAAAGAGUCAACAGGAUAGAACUAUCCGUCCACACGGAGGAAGCGACUUGGAUCCCAAGAGUUAUCAACCAGUCAGAACCUGUUUCAGGGAAGAGUUUGAGGCCUGGCUCCCUCAGCCCCUCCGCAUCACGGUGUUCACUAGUAAUUUUGUCUCCUUCGGACCUGGAGCAGCUCUGCAUGGGACACAAGGCUGGCCCGAGACACCUCACAGCAUUACCCAGCGACCGCUCUCUUCAGAACAAAAUAAAAGGCAAAUAAGAAGGGAAGGGGAGGGCUGGGGAUUUAGCUCAGUGGUUUCGCCGCCUGCUGCACAAGCGCAAGGACCUGAGUUCGAUCCCUGGUACCAAAAAAGAAGGGAAGGGGAUCAAGCGAAGAUCAAGCGAAGGAAGACUGGGGUGGGAAGAGAAGGGAACGGAAGGGACAUAAAAGGAUGUAGGAUGUGUUGUGUGCACGCACCAAUUCCCGACGACGACGAUGAAUGCAAUCGUUAUGCACUGCAAAUGUUUGCUAAUAAAAAUUUAAAAGAAUUAAAAAAUAGGCAGUGAAUGUUUUUCUAUUAAUACCUCACAACGAGUUGUUCCAAUUCACACAAGAAACUUGAUAGUUUUUUUUAUUGUUUUCAUGUCUUUGGUUGUUUUUGAAAUCAGCACCUCCCCUUCCCAGGAUCAGGAUGUUGACAGAAACCUCGGACAGGCUCUUGUGCACUCAUGCCAAGACUUUCUAAAGCACUGGAAAGACUGCUUUGGGAUCAACUAUCAUUUUCCCUCACAGAUUACAAAAACCAUUGGCCUGGUUUCUUGAUCUUGUUUCUUUUCAUAAUGAAUGUGAGAUGUCUGAAAUUUUAUUUUCUUUAUUUGUAAUUGCUUGUUUUAAUACAGAAAACAUAGCGAAAUGUUUCAACAGGCUCAGAAAAGUUCCUGGGGAGUUCCAUCUCCUCUCAAGCUACCCAGCCCACUCGGAAGCAACCACUUACCGGUUCCUGGUGCAGUUUUUAGGUCCAGCACUGUACAGGUGCUCAGUAUAUUUUCAGAUUUGCCCGGAAGCGGAAUUGCUGAAUCUAGGGAAUGAGCGUUGUAAUGCUGGAGGACAGAGCCUAGUUUUUCGCCGCAGAGGGCGCUCCAACUUGCACCCUCGUCCUCCAUAGACAGUGCGCCUGCGCAGUUCUCACACAGGGACCGCAGCCACCGUUCGACCCGUUAAGCUUCUUUUAUUGCUGUCAAUUUGAUAUUAAAACUCCCAUUGGCGUACACUUUCAUUUGCAUUUCCCCUUAUGAAUGUUGUUGAAAAUCUUUUAAUACGGCAUAAAUUUUAAGAGAAAUUUUUAUUUCUCCACGUACUAGCCAUAAUCUUUUUGGUGUAAUUAGAUCCCUUUUCUUUCACCUUUCUUUCUUUCUUUCUUUCUUUCUUUCUUUCUUUCUUUCUUUCUUUCUUUCUUUCUUUCUUUCUGUACUGGGCAUUGAAUCCAAGCACUUCACACUAAGCAAUAUCCGCAGCCCUUUAUUAAUUUUAUUUUAAGUUUUGAAACAGGGCUUCACUGAGACACAAAGUAGCCCAGUCUGGGCUGGAACUUGAGUCUUUCCUGCUUCAGCCUCCCAGAGCGAGGACUAUAGGUGAGCACUACCCUGUCUAGCUUUUUUUUUUAUUUUUAUUUUUUGGAAGAAGAUUUCAUACAAAUAUAUCAAGGAAAUCAGCAUUUUGUUUGGAAUAUGAGCUAUAAAAAACGUGUUGACAAAUGCCAAGCCUAGUCCGUAGAGCACAGAUACUUUUUAAACGCUUCCUCACGCAACGAAACUAUUUUCAAUAAAAAUCCUGAAACCAAAGGAAUAAGUAGAUGCAGGAAAUGAAAUAGUAAACGUUUUCUUUUAUUGAAAUUCAUAUGUGUAAUCAUACUGUAAACAUUUAAAAAGUAAAAUACAUAUUACAGUGCAAACAAGAAAAAAGAUUAAUAUUUUAAAUUACACUAACAAUGAAAAAGGGAAGUCAUACCUGUGUAUAGGUCUGUUACGGUGACGAAUCAUGAUAUUACAGCUUAACAAUAAUUAAAGACAUUAGAAGAAAAGCACAGCAACGUUUUUAUUUAAAGGCAUUAUUCCAAUUUGGGAAAAUAUUUGCCUUGUGAAUUAUAAUUUAGCUCUGCCAAAAUAAGGAUCGUACAUCUCGGUCUGCAGUUUUACCACUUUUACACUUUAAAAACAAACCCCCAGUGGUCAUUGGAAAGACAAAAUUGAGUAACUCAGCUUUCAUUUCUUCAUCUUUACAAUCGUUAGAGCAACAUUUAAACUUCUGCAUCUGCUACUCAAGCUCAGGAAAAUGGAAUAACUCGAGUUUGAAGACAGAGCCCACAGCCAGCUCGGAAAGCUCCAGUGCAUAAUGGGCCUGACAUCCCACUCCUACGGAGGCUGAACUUAGCGUGUGCUGCGUCCACGCCCACUCACAACACGAGGUCGGUGCGGGAUGCGUCAUUUGAGGAAGUGCUCGUGCUGCUUACGUUCCCACCCGCAGCAGCCGUUAACCGUUCUGUCCACUACACCAGCUGCUGACAGAGGGCUGCUUAAAUUUUAAAUUAAUUAAAAUUAAAUUAAAAGGAAAUUCUGUUUCCAGCCAAGUCAGAGAAAUAGGGACCAGAUGUACCCUCCAGCCUAAAACAAUCAACAAACAAACAAAAUAGGAGGCCUUGGUUUUCAAGACACAGGACCUCAGGAUAUGGCAGGAAAUGGGAACCAUGUGGUAGAAGAACAGGCUCACCGAAAUCACCCGAACUUUGACUGACUUCGAACUCCAGACACUGACUUCUCUUAAUGGACCAAGUAAGCCCCUGAUUAACUUAUGUUGCUGUUCAGAAGUCAGUUUCCUAAAGACAAGUAAUGAAUGAUUUCUUUAAUGAUAUAUUGUGCACCUUUCUUUGUUAAUCACUGUUUAAAGCC
This is a long non-coding RNA of Heterocephalus glaber (naked mole-rat), 9444 nucleotides long. NCBI's taxonomy places the organism in Eukaryota, Metazoa, Chordata, Mammalia, Rodentia, Bathyergidae. The record is from Ensembl.